GAGGAAACUACGGGCGUAAUACCGGAUGUGGUACGGAGACAUAAGUCUCUUACUAAAGGUAGCUUCGGCUUCCGCAUUGGAGGGGCCCGCGGCCCAUUAGCUAGUUGGUGGGGUCAAGGCCUACCAAGGCAACGAUGGGUAGGCUGGUCUGAGAGGACGAUCAGCCACACUGGGACUGAGACACGGCCCAGACUCCUACGGGAGGCAGCAGUGGGGAAUCUUGCGCGAUGCGCGAAAGCGUGACGCAGCAACACCGCGUGAGGGAAGACGGCCUUAGGGUUGUAAACCUCUUUCAGAUGGGACGAAGGUGAUGCGGUGAAUAGCCGAUGUCAUUGACGGUACCGUCAGAAGAAGCUCCGGCUAACUACGUG
This 371-nucleotide ribosomal RNA is filed under the name uncultured bacterium. RNAcentral describes it as "bacterial SSU rRNA". It matches the Rfam family "Bacterial small subunit ribosomal RNA", at positions 150 to 507 of the family's 1533-position model. The record is from RNAcentral.